This 254-nucleotide ribosomal RNA is filed under the name uncultured bacterium. RNAcentral's name for it is "partial 16S ribosomal RNA". It matches the Rfam family "Bacterial small subunit ribosomal RNA", at positions 524 to 776 of the family's 1533-position model. The record is from RNAcentral.
UACGGGGGGAGCAAGCGUUGUUCGGAUUUACUGGGCGUAAAGGGCGCGUAGGCGGUCAGCACAAGUCAGUUGUGAAAUCUCCGGGCUUAACUCGGAAAGGUCAACUGAUACUGUGCGACUAGAGUGCGGAAGGGGCAACUGGAAUUCUUGGUGUAGCGGUGAAAUGCGUAGAUAUCAAGAGGAACACCUGCGGCGAAGGCGGGUUGCUGGGCCGACACUGACGCUGAGGCGCGAAAGCCAGGGGAGCGAACCGG